RNAcentral lists this unclassified non-coding RNA (203 nucleotides) under Hevea brasiliensis (rubber tree). Lineage: Eukaryota; Viridiplantae; Streptophyta; Magnoliopsida; Malpighiales; Euphorbiaceae. The record is from RNAcentral.
AAAGAAGAUAAGCAGGUGAUAAAAGGCCACAACAUGUGGACAAGAUGCAAGUUGUAACCCAGUGAGUCAAAGAAAAAAAAAUGAAAAGACCAAGUCGAAACAUAGCAAAUUUGUACUUCAUUUUGUGAUGGCAAUUUGGUUUCAAUUGAACAUCAUUACCAUCUGAGGCAGAUUCCGAAUUUUCUACCAAUUCAACAGUAAAA